This 46-nucleotide non-coding RNA is filed under the name Schistosoma curassoni. Lineage: Eukaryota; Metazoa; Platyhelminthes; Trematoda; Strigeidida; Schistosomatidae. The record is from RNAcentral.
GCAUUGUUGAGGAGUCCCAUACUAGGACGAAACGGCCGUCCAGUAC